Molecule: ribosomal RNA, 104 nt
Filed under: uncultured bacterium
Lineage: Bacteria
Description: partial 16S ribosomal RNA
Rfam family: Bacterial small subunit ribosomal RNA
Source: RNAcentral
UACGGAGGGUGCAAGCGUUACUCGGAAUCACUGGGCGUAAAGAGCGUGUAGGCGGAUAGAUAAGUCAGAAGUGAAAUCCAAUAGCUUAACUAUUGAACUGCUUU